CCCCCGUCCUCUCGUCUCACCCCCGCACCAGCCGCCACACAACCCUAGGUCUCCUUGCGCUUCGUUCCCCGCUCGCUCGUCCCUCGGUUCUCCUCAUCCCUCCUCUGCUCCGGCUGCUACGCCGCCUCUCCCUCCACAACGCGACCAGCUCGAGCUCCACCUCAUCCAUCUCCAUCUCAAGGAGACGACUGCACAAGACGUCCGGCGCCGUCACCAUCGUCCUCGGCACAAGUGAAGCACGGGAUGCUCGCUGCGUCGCCGGCGUCCUUUCUCUCGCUGCCACCACCACCCCGACCGAGCCAUCCCCGUGCUCUCACUGAGCCUUCCCCUCCGGGCUCACUGACCCAGGUGGCGGAGAAGGAGAGGGUGAGCUCGAGGGGCAGGCAAGGGAGGAGGGCGUGAGCCCUCGUUGAUGUGGUCUCCGUCAGAGGCGACGAGGGAUGGAUCCGGAGGCCGGGAAGCUGGAGGUGGAGGCCGCGGCGGGGCGACCACUGGUCCACGGACCGGGAGGAUGACGGGGAGGGGAGGGCGAGUCGCCCCCCACCACCACUACGCGCAGGUUUGCGUUGGGGAUUGAUUCCUACUAGUGAAAUAUGCAAGGGAGCCGACCUACAGUUUCAUGUAUAGCUUGAGCUCGCGGCAGAGACAUGGAAGGUCGGAAAAUGAAGAUAUGGGAUGAAGCCAAGCAAUGGAAGAUAAUGGUAACCAAGGCCAUCUUUGUUGGUCAUGGAUUUAGAAGAAAGCCAACAGAGUAUGAAAAGGUUCUCAUGGGACUCACCUUGAACUGAAAUCUUUGUUCAACCUUGGUAUAAUUCUGUGAUAGAAACCCCAGGUGGUCCAAUAUUUUGUUUGUUACUUUAGUGCGUGUUAUUUUUGGUUUGUUAUAACCGAAUUUACAGCCUACUAUAUGUGCAUUUCUUUUAUUCUGUUUUGGUGGGUUCUAAACUAUGAAAUUAGGAAACAUAUAGUUUAUUAGUAUCACAUUUGUAAAAUCAUGCAUAUGCAGGAGCUCAGCAGUCUACCGACCUAAAUUUCUCCCCAACUUAUGUCUUUUUGUUCAGUCAAGAAUUUUAGGUUUCCUUGGUCACCACGGCCUCCUCUCUACUUGGCUCUCCUCUAUCUUGCUUCUCUAUAAAAAAAAUGGAAACUACCAUGAGAGAUAAAUGCCAACUGAAAGUUAAAUUCUGUUAGAAAGUUAAAUUCAGU
Molecule: long non-coding RNA, 1206 nt
Organism: Triticum dicoccoides
Lineage: Eukaryota; Viridiplantae; Streptophyta; Magnoliopsida; Poales; Poaceae
Exons: 4
Source: RefSeq, a predicted model, not a curated record